Molecule: ribosomal RNA, 440 nt
Filed under: uncultured bacterium
Lineage: Bacteria
Description: partial 16S ribosomal RNA
Rfam family: Bacterial small subunit ribosomal RNA
Source: RNAcentral
CCUACGGGUGGCAGCAGUGGGGAAUAUUGCACAAUGGGGGAAACCCUGAUGCAGCGACGCCGCGUGAGUGAAGAAGUAUUUCGGUAUGUAAAGCUCUAUCAGCAGGGAAGAAAAUGACGGUACCUGACUAAGAAGCCCCGGCUAACUACGUGCCAGCAGCCGCGGUACUACGUAGGGGGCAAGCGUUAUCCGGAUUUACUGGGUGUAAAGGGAGCGUAGACGGCGGAACAAGUCAGAAGUGAAAACCCGGGGCUCAACCCUGGGAGUGCUUUUGAAACUGUUUGGCUGGCGUGCAGGAGAGGUAAGCGGAAUUCCUAGUGUAGCGGUGAAAUGCGUAGAUAUUAGGAGGAACACCAGUGGCGAAGGCGGCUUACUGGACUGUAACUGACGUUGCGGCUCGAAAGCGUGGGGAGCAAACAGGAUUAGAUACCCCAGUAGUC